This 363-nucleotide transfer-messenger RNA is filed under the name Salmonella enterica. It matches the Rfam family "transfer-messenger RNA". From Rfam's summary of the family: Bacterial tmRNA, also known as 10Sa RNA or SsrA, is named for its dual tRNA and mRNA-like properties. Its role is to liberate the mRNA from a stalled ribosome. The record is from RNAcentral. Lineage: Bacteria; Pseudomonadati; Pseudomonadota; Gammaproteobacteria; Enterobacterales; Enterobacteriaceae.
GGGGCUGAUUCUGGAUUAGACGGGAUUUGCGAAACCCAAGGUGCAUGCCGAGGGGCGGUUGGCCUCGUAAAAAGCCGCAAAAAAAUAGUCGCAAACGACGAAACCUACGCUUUAGCAGCUUAAUAACCUGCUUAGAGCCCUCUCUCCCUAGCCUCCGCUCUUAGGACGGGGAUCAAGAGAGGUCAAACCCAAAAGAGAUCGCGUGGAUGCCCUGCCUGGGGUUGAAGCGUUAAAACGAAUCAGGCUAGUCUGGUAGUGGCGUGUCCGUCCGCAGGUGCCAGGCGAAUGUAAAGACUGACUAAGCAUGUAGUACCGAGGAUGUAGGAAUUUCGGACGCGGGUUCAACUCCCGCCAGCUCCACCA